RNAcentral lists this ribosomal RNA (207 nucleotides) under uncultured Syntrophus sp. RNAcentral's name for it is "partial 16S ribosomal RNA". It matches the Rfam family "Bacterial small subunit ribosomal RNA", at positions 568 to 774 of the family's 1533-position model. Lineage: Bacteria; Pseudomonadati; Thermodesulfobacteriota; Syntrophia; Syntrophales; Syntrophaceae. The record is from RNAcentral.
CGUGUAGGCGGCUGAGCAAGUCAGAUGUGAAAUCCCUGGGCUUAACCCAGGAAGUGCAUUUGAAACUGCUUAGCUUGAGUAAGGAAGAGGGAAGUGGAAUUCCUGGUGUAGAGGUGAAAUUCGUAGAUAUCAGGAAGAACACCGGUGGCGAAGGCGACUUCCUGGUCCUAUACUGACGCUGAGACGCGAGAGCGUGGGGAGCAAACA